Molecule: ribosomal RNA, 198 nt
Filed under: uncultured bacterium
Lineage: Bacteria
Description: partial 16S ribosomal RNA
Rfam family: Bacterial small subunit ribosomal RNA
Source: RNAcentral
ACGCUCGACACCUACGGGAGACAGCAGUGGGGAAUAUUGCACAAUGGGGGAAACCCGUGAUGCAGCGACGCCGCGUGAGUGAAGAAGUAAUUCGUUAUGUAAAGCUCUAUCAGCAGGGAAGAAAGUGACGGUACCUGAGUAAGAAGCCCCGGCUAACUACGUGCCACAGCCGCGGUAAUCUGAGCGGGCUGGCAAGGC